AAAGGCUAGAUUUGCUGCCUGUCGGACCAGCCAUGGGUGGUGGGGACCUAGCACCCUUUGAUAGGCUUCCCCACACAGAGCCCCUAUGUCUGUAUUCUGGACUCUGGCGAUGCUGCUCAGGCAGAGCUGGGCCCACCGCAGGGCUCGAUGCAGAAGCACCAAAAUUCGGAGACCAGAAGUGGGUUCAGAGGGAUCCUGCUCCCAGUCAGCCAUGGCAGAGAAGGUAGAACAGCAACAUGAAGAUGAAGAUGGUGAAGGGAAGACCAUAGCCAAGCCAGUGCCUGGUGGCCCAGACUUUAGGGUCAGGGGACAACAGCUUUAGCUUCAUGAUCGAGGUCCUGAACCACUGCUGCCUCCCCAACCCUCUUAUCAGUACUUGUUCUGAGUGGGUGGAGAAGAAUCAGUCACCUUGGAGGGAAGGGGCUAAUAAUUAAGCUUUCUAUCAGUCCUAUUGGCCUUUGACCCAAGUGAAGAGCUAAGGCCAGGAGUAAAAGGAAAUAGUUGCUCUCUACAAUCCUAUUAGACUCCUCCAGCCCUCUUUAAGGAUCCAGAAACAUGACAAAACCCUCAAAUGUCCUUUUGGACAAAUCUGCACUGACCCCAAAAAAAUGUAUAAAUAUUUUGGUUUCCUGGUGAAUUUCCAAUUCACCCAUAGAAUUACAGAAAGAAUUGGAGGGGAUCUCACAGAUCAUUUAAUCUAAUCCUGAUCUGAGCAAGAAUCCCUUCUACAGCAUCCCCAUAAAUGGUGCUCUAAAGAAAAUUGUGGAAUUAUAUCGUAAAAAAUUACAAAAAUCUUCAUACUCUUUGAUCUAACAAUUCUGAUUUUGUGUUUGUUUAUACACUAAGGUAUCAUGAUAGAAAUAAAGGACCUAUCUGAA
Long non-coding RNA from Sarcophilus harrisii (Tasmanian devil), 878 nucleotides. RefSeq lists it as uncharacterized. The record is from RefSeq and is a predicted model, not a curated record. The transcript is spliced from 2 exons. Lineage: Eukaryota; Metazoa; Chordata; Mammalia; Dasyuromorphia; Dasyuridae.